This 265-nucleotide ribosomal RNA is filed under the name uncultured bacterium. RNAcentral describes it as "partial 16S ribosomal RNA". It matches the Rfam family "Bacterial small subunit ribosomal RNA", at positions 88 to 354 of the family's 1533-position model. The record is from RNAcentral.
CCGGCGACCGGCGGACGGGUGCGCAACGCGUAUGUAACCUACCUUUGACAGGGGGAUAACAUCGAGAAAUUGGUACUAAUACCCCAUAACAUCACCGGAGGCAUCUUCGGUGGUUGAAAACUCAGGUGGUCAGAGAUGGACAUGCGUUGUAUUAGCUAGUUGGUGAGGUAACGGCUCACCAAGGCGACGAUACAUAGGGGGACUGAGAGGUCAACCCCCCACAUUGGUACUGAGACACGGACCAAACUCCUACGGGAGGCAGCAG